GUGAGGGCAAGGGCAGGAUAGGCAGGUGGUGGGGAUUUUCGAGUGAGACUAAGGCAUUCGGAGGGUAGACAUCUAUCAGAAGGCCAGGGAAGCCAGAUGAAGGAAUCCCCUCCAUCUUGCCUUGGUUUGCACGUGGACGGGCCCACCAUCCCUGUGCGGAGAUGUGGAUGCAGUAACUUAGCCUCUAAUGGGAUCGGGGAAUAUUUUUCUCAGAAGAACCACUGAGAACCCACGAGGGACGUUUCUUAAUGAGUGAUAGUCACGUGGGAUUUUAUUGUGUGGAUUCACCUUAUUGUACUUAAACUUCCUGGAUGGGCAAUUAGAUGAGACUGAUGGCCCAUGGACUACAUCUGGAAGAGCUUCAGUUUAUGACAAGUUGAAAAUACCAGCAGUCUCAGCGAACAGUACUAACUCCACUUCAAUUAUCAUUUGUUCUGAAAAUCCUUUCUCUAAGGUCAUUGUUCAGACUUAGCAGAGGCUGGGGAGCGCACAGUGGGUGCUCUGAAAGCCGGAGCUAACCCCCGCUCAGAAACCUCGGCCUCGUGACCUGCUGUCCACUCUCCCGCCUGAGUUGUCCUCGCCUGGAGCAACAAAUGCAGCAACAAGGAACCUGCACCCAGAGCUUCCUGGGGACACAGCCCCGAGCGGGGCGCAGGCCCUGUCCGGCUGCCAUCACCACCUACGCGAUCGCACUCAGUCAUCACAGGCCCGGGCCUCAGACUGCGUGUCACUUUCCAGGCCCUCCUCCCACAAAAAUUCUAGCCUCCCAGCCUCCAGGGCGCUUAGUUCACCCCAUAAACUCGACUAAUGCUUACCACAUGCGGCGGAGCUCCGCCGACCGCGCCCACCUCGCUUUGGCUCAGAAUCAGCAGGAGACCCUCCCUCUAGAGGACCCUCCCCUGGGGGACCCUUG
Long non-coding RNA from Bos taurus (domestic cattle), 913 nucleotides. Lineage: Eukaryota; Metazoa; Chordata; Mammalia; Artiodactyla; Bovidae. The record is from Ensembl.